Long non-coding RNA from Alnus glutinosa, 1001 nucleotides. RefSeq lists it as uncharacterized. The transcript is spliced from 3 exons. Lineage: Eukaryota; Viridiplantae; Streptophyta; Magnoliopsida; Fagales; Betulaceae. The record is from RefSeq and is a predicted model, not a curated record.
CUGCUGCUUCUCUUAUUAUUCUUUUUCUUCUUCUUUCUACUUUCUUCUUUCUCUUUUGUUGUUCUUCUCGCCAGACCCACAGAGAGAGAAUGAGAGAGAGAGAUUGAGUGAUUGAGAGAGUGGAGAGACAGAGAGAUGAGACCGAGAGAGAGAUGCCGUGAGGAAGACCUGACCUCCGUGAGGUCCGGUUUUCCGGCCAACCAUGGUGAGUCGCAGGGGACGUCGGAGGAGCUGGAGGACGCGAUUUUCGGCGUGGCAGAGUGAUUUCCGGCGGAACCCAGACCCAAUUUCUGGCGAACCCGUGCGUUGAAACCCAUCUAACCCGUGAGACCCGAGAACCCGUGUGACCCGGUCUUUCGAUGGUGAAGUCCGGGGCGAAUUCCGGCAACCAGAGCUGAAAUCCGACGGUCCCAGUAGCAGUUUCCGGCGAAGACCCGUGAGCUUAGAAGACCCGUAGCCUAGACCCGCAAACCGUGAGCUCAGACCCGCGACCCAGUGACCCGAGAAACCUAGAACCCGACGGCGUGAAGCUGGUUUUUCCGGUGAAUUUCCGGCGACUUCCAGUGUCGUUUUCCGGCGGAUUUAUUGAGGAAAAUCCCCAAGGAUCAUGUUCGGAUUGGAGACUUUAAUUGGUUCUCCAAUGUAGAGUCCAAGUGACUAGAGUCCAAAGAGUGUUCGAGUUGGAGUCCAAUGCAGCCGAGAUGAUGUUUCUUUGGCUGCAGGUACUUCGGUAUAGUCGAUGGGUCGGUAGCAGUGUGCUUGGGAUAUUAUGACUGAAGCUCGCCGCGACAGUUGUAAUUGUCGGACCACGGGUUGUCCACUAUUUUAUAGGUUUGGUAUGGCUUGUGACGUUUGUGUCACUUAUUCUUUGUUAAGCCAUUAUUGUUAUAGUGUUAAUAAGACUCAAACAGAUAGAUGUUAAAUGGCUCUUUGUUGUAAUUAAUUUGUGAUAGAUGUAUAAGUUGUAAUUUCCGCUAUUCAGAUUUAUGUUUUCCGCUGCA